GCCGCUGCCGCCUCCUCGCCGUUGUCGGAAGGUGGGGGAGGGUCGGCCGGGGCCGGCGACCCCAAUCGACUGGCGGCGAGGGUUGAGCACUCAGCCGCUGGCUGCCUCCCUCUUCCUCCUCCUUCCCCUCUCAUUUUAAUUAAUUAAUUAAUUAAUUUUUUAAAAUUAAAUUAAAUUAAUUAUUAUAUUAAAAUUUGAAUUAUACUAAACAACGUCGUUUUGACACUACUUAGCCACAUCAACAUACAAAAUGACGUCGUUUUGCGCGUAACUUGCCGGAAAAUUGCCACGUUAGCAUUUUGGCUAGAUUUUUUCGCCAGUGAUACUUAAGUAUCACUUUCGUAACUUUUGGUAUUUUAGUGUCACUUUCGUAACUUUUGGCCAUUAAGUAUUCAUUUGUGUCAACUUUUGGCACUUCCGAGGUUCGAGUGUCCAUAGACGAUCAUCUCAGCGUCAUCACUUUUUUUUAUUUAUUAUUGUCACGUGGAGAGUCUAAUUAUCGAAAUAAGUCCUCCUCAUCUCAACCCAAGGUGAAUCGGGAGCGCAAGUGCUAAUCUAUCCUCACAUUGAAUAAAGAAACACAUAUAGCUUUCUAGAGAAAAAAAUUAUAUUCUCUAUAUUUUAUAAAUAGUUUGUUUUUCAAUGCUUUUGAGUAUAUAUAUAUAUACAAAGAAGAGAAUCAAUUUAAAAAAUCCUUAUAAUUAGAAGACAAAAUAAAAAGUAAAUUGAAUUGGAUUCCUAUAUUAUCUCUAAUUGACAGCUCAUGCCAAUACUCCCUCUCAAGUGAGUGAAAAGAUAACUUUGAUAUUCAACUUGACAAGUGAGCUGUGAAAGGCUCUGCUUGACACAGCCUUAGUAACUAUGUUUGCCAAUUGAUCUUUAAAUUUUAACAAAGGAAACCAAACCACCUUAGCCUCUAAAUUUUUCUUAACAAAAUGUCUAUCAACCUCAAUGUGCUUGGUUAGAUCAUGCUGAAUUGGAUUGUGGGAAAUAUUAAUUGAUGCUUUAUUAUCAUAGAACGAUCUCAUCUUAGACUUCGAUGGGAAACCAAGUUCCGUUAUUAACCUCUUAAGUUAUAGUAGCUCACACAACCCUUUAGCCAUUCCUUGAAAUUCCGCCUCAGAUGCUACUACCUUCUGUUUUUGCUCAUCCAUGUAACCAAGUUUCCUCGCACAAAUGUGAAAUACUCUGACGUAGACCUCCUAUUUGAUAUGCUACCUACCUAGUUCGUAUCUGUAAAUCCCUUCAUCUCAAGAUGACCAUUUUUCACAAAGAACACACCUUUUCUUGGAGCCAACUUCAAGUAGCGCAAAAUUCAACUCACCACAUUCAUAUGAUCUUUACUUGGGGCAGGCAUAAAUUGACUCAUGAUGCUUACAGCAUAUGUGACAAAUAGAUUAGUCUCCCUAUUGACCUUUGAUAUCUAUCCUUAUUGGCCAGCACCUAAUCUAGAUACUCUCUAAGUCCAUAAUUUUGAACUAUAGGGAUGUCGGCAAGCUUACACUUCAACAUUCCAACUUCGGCUAACAAGUCCAACACAUAUUUUCUUUGAGAUAAUAAAACACCUCCUCUCAAUCUAGCCACUUCAAUGCCUAAGAAAUACUUUAACCCGCCUAGAUUUUUUGUCUCAAACUCUUAUGCUAUCUUCUCUUGGAUUUUUGAAUUAUCUUCACAAUCAUCUCUUGUGAUAAUCAUAUUAUCCACACAUAUGAUUAAGGCCCUUACCUUUCCUUGACGUCACUUCAAGAACAACGUAUGAUAUGAGUUGCUUUGAGAAUACCCAUAUCUUCUCAUUGUUGAGUUGAAGCGACCAAACAAAGUACGGGGUGAUUGCUUUGACCCAUAUGAUGAACGUUCUUGCUUGCACACUACGUUGGGCUGAGUGGCACAACAAUACCUAGGUGGAAUUUCCAUAAAGAUUUCUUCCUCCAGAUCCCCAUGAAGAAACACAUUCUUCACAUUAAACUGAUGCAAUGGCUAGUCUAGAUUUGCUACAAAAGACAACAAAACUCUCACAAUAUUAUGCUUCACCAUGGGGGAAUACAUUUCUUGGUAGUCUACACCAUAAGUUUAUGUAUAUCCCUUUACUAUCAGUCGCGCAUUCUAUCUCCCAAUAGAGUCAUCUGCUUUGUAUUUGAUAGUAAAACCGGGAAAAUGUUUCUUGCUAGUCUACACUAUAAGUCUGUGUAUAUCCCUUUGCUACUAGCCACGCCUUGUAUCUCUCAAUGGAGCCAUCGGUUUUGUAUUUGAUAGUAUAAACCCAUUUGCACCCCAGUGAUUUCUUCCCUUUUGGUAACUUUACAAGUCUCAAAGUCUUGUUUUUUCUAUAAUGUUUCCAUCUCCUCUUUCAUUGCUUGAACAUACUUAGGAUUCCUCAAAGCCUCUUGCACCUCAAUAGGAACUCGGGUUGUAGAAACAUUUGAUACGAAUGUUAUCUCCCUAUUGAAACAUAAUUUGCAAUAAGGUACUUAGAUUUCCGUUCCUCCACGUUUGGUGAGUACCGACCAGAAGUUUUGCCAUGAUUGUGCCUGUCAAGUAAUUUAUAUCCAAUAACCACAUCAGAAUCAUCACAAGAGUCAAGUGAGGUAGGAGAUCUUACCUCAGGAGUAUCCUUAGGAGAAUGGUUACGUACUAAAGAGGGGAUAAUUUCAAAAGAGGGCAGUUCUUGAGGCUGUUCAUGUGCACCAUGUAGCGAUACAAAUUGCUUAUCAUCUUUUGUCAGGACGUGACUAUUCUUUUGCGCAACUCCUACCGUCAGCCCUCUCACGAUCUAAUCCACUACAUUUUAUAUUGAUGGUAUCACUGGUGGGGCCUUUUAUUAGUCGGACCAAGUCCUAGUCCCUACCAAAAUACCACCCUCCCACCAAAUUUUCUUUUCUCGAUGUAUCUCCUCCUGAAAAGGAUAAUUAAUGUCAGGGUAGAAGAAUUCAGACUCAACAAAUGUUACAUCCACAGUAACAUGUGUCUUCUUUGUGAUCGGGUUGUAGCAAUGAUAGCCCUUCUGAUAGGUUCUAUAGCCAAUAAAAACACACCGCAUAGCACAAGGAUCAAGUUUGAUUCGUUGGUUCUUGUGAAGAUAAACAUAAGCUACAAACCCAAACGCUUUAGGAGGAAGUGUCAAAAUUGAGAGAAGAGAAACAUGUUCUGAAAGAACUUGUGGCGUGGUCUGAAAUUUUGGCAUGUAGGAGGGCAUCUGAUUCAUCAAGUUGAUUGCAAUAACAACGGUAGCAUCCAAAAAACGAUUAAGAAUAUGACCCACCAAGAGAGCCCUUGUUGUCUCAAUAAUAUGAUGGUCCUUUCUUUUUGCAACGUCAUUCAACUAGGGUGUCUAGGUGCAUGACGUCUCAUAGAUAAGGCCAUGUUCUUGAAAGUAAGCUAUGAGAUAUUGAUUAACAUAUUCGACCCCAUUAUUAGUACGAAGGACGCAGAUUUGAGCCCCAAAUUGUGUUGCAACUAUAUGGUAGAACACACGAAAUAUUUAAAGACCUCAUCCCUAUGUCAUCCGUAUACAGUUAUCCCCAAAAGUCACAAACCAACGAAUUCCCAAAAUGGUCACAUUGGAGUGGACUAAUGAAAAAGGCAUUGCACUUUUACCUAAACUCAGUGGAAAUGAAACACAAUGACUCUUUGCCAAGAUGCAUGUUUCACACUGAAAUACAAAAUCUGAUAAACUAUUGAACAACCUAGGAAAUAAGUGCUUCAGAUAUCCUAAAGAUCGAGUGUUGUAAUCGACAAUGCUAUAGUUGGAUGUCUUUCUUUUUACCACUAGAUUGACCAUCGGUGUGAUUCACUUUGCUAGUGUUAAAAUUAUCCAUGCAAUACAUCCCUGCCCUCUUAGUACCUCGUCCAAUAAUCUCCUUCGUGAGAAUAUCCUAAAAUAAACAAAAAUUGUGAUACAUAAGAACACUGUAAUUUAAUUCAUCAGUAAUUUGCUCAAUAGGUAGCAACCAGUUAGAUAAAGAGGGUAUGAGCAAAAUGUACAAUAAGGAGAGGGAAGGUGUAAGAACAACUCUUCCAUCCCCAAUCACUAGAUAGCUAUGGCCAUUUGCAUUAUAGAUACUUUGUCAACGCAGAGUGGUAUGGCACGUGAAGUCACCAAGAUUAGGUGUCAUGUGAUUAGUAGUGCCAGAAUCAACAAUCCACCCAUUAUCCUCACCCUAAUGAGUACUGAAAAAAACACGAUUGUUUUUACCUUCAAAAACCGAUACAGAAGUAUUGGUGGAGUCUACCUAGGGAACCAAGGAGAGAGGUGAGUCCCCAAUUGCCAACGACACUUGUCCUUGACCCCUACUUGUCGUAGUCUCAAUCUUUUUCUUGGCUUGAAAAUCUUUCCACUAAUCGAAGUACCCAUGUGACUUUAACCGGUCUCCUUGGUAUGCUUAAGAUCCCACAAUGGGUGCAUCCCUUUGCUAGUUGUGGCUUGUGCUUCGAACCUGCAUUAGACUUGUCCCCUCCUAUCAUAGCACUUGUGAAGGCCAUCUAUAGAGGCUAUGAUUUUGGCUGCCGUCAAGAAACCGCGAACGUAUCUUCCCCCCACGUGACACCAUUACAACAGCAGCGGGAGAGUCCAUAUUAGUCAACAUUAGAUGCACGUACUCCCACUGAACCCGUGCGUAAGCUUGUUCAAUAGCAAGAAGUGGUUGCAUCUAUAAGACAUCUGCCCUGACCUUGUCAAUUCCAUCAUCAAGACCAUCAAGGAAUGUGUAGACACAAUCUUCUUGGAUAGCCAUAUUUUAGCACCCGAUAUCAUUGGGACGCACCAUGGGGUUAAGACGCUGAAAAUCAAUUUCCCGCACAAAGUCCUUGAAGAUCAUUGUAGUAUUUGUUGAUAGGACCUCCAACCUACUUCAGCCGAGUAACUUGGUGCUUCAAAUCAUGUACUUGGGAGACAAUGUUGCCGUCAAAAAACGUGAUAGCCAUUGAAUCCCAAACUGCUUUUGCGUUUGGGAAUCGAAUUAAAUUGCCAAUCAACGCCUUGUCCCUGGAGUUGAUUAUCCAUCCUAUCACUAUGGACUCCUCGAUUUUCCACUUCCAAAAGCUAGGAUCAGUCGAAUGAGGUUGGAGAAGAUCUCCAUUAAUAUAUCCCAACUUGUCUUUGCCUGAGAUGUACAUCUCAACAACUUGGGACCAAAGGCCAUAGUUGUUGCCAUCCAACUUGAUAGCAAUAGGUGGAGCCAAUGCCUUAGCUUAGGAACAGUGCAUGAUGUUGGGUUAUAAGUUGCUUCAUCGCUAUUAUCAGAUCUUCAAGGAUCACCUUGGUUGAAGAGCCCUCAGCGGUUGAUUGUAAAUCACUGCGUUCAGCUAUGAUGAGAUCAAGUCUUAGGGUCUAGUUGCUCUGAUACCAUGAAAAAAUGCAUAUAGCUUUUUGGAAAAAAUUCUUAUAUUAUCUAUAUUUUGUACAUCAUUUGUUAUAUAAUACUUCUGAGUGUAUAUACACAUACACACACAAAGAAGAAAGUUAAUUCUAAUAAUCCUCCUAAUUAUGAGACAAAAUAGGAACUAGAUUGACUCGGAUUCUUAUAUUAUCUAUAAUUGACAGUUCAUGUUAACACCGAAUUCAUGAUUUUUCUAACAUGCAGCGUUAAUUUUGACUCUCAUUUUAGUUGUUUCUUUUUUGUCCGUUCGUGCUAAGUUAACCAUCCCGAUGGACAGUGAGAACAUGAAAGUUUUAUCAUUUCGGUCGAGGAAAGGAGAAGGUCUUCUGUCACUAAAAGAGAACUUUGAUUUGAUAUCUAGAUUAAAAAAAAUAAAAGUACAAAGGAUUCGGCAUAUUGCAUAAUGACAAAGUCAACCAACGAAGGGAGGCCUCCGCUGGUAUUUGAAUAUUCGUCCAUAAUUGAUUGUCGAAAGGGACAGCCAUCAUGUUAGAAUAGAAUAAAGUCGUCUCGCUCGCACUCACAUUAAUGGAUCUGAACAUCGAAUUUUUUUCUUUCCCUCCGUGUCAAACUCGAAUGUCCAACUUCUGGGACAAUAUAUAUACACGCAUAUAUAUUUGCUAUAGCUACGAAAUCAAUCACUUAAAUUAACCAAACACGACAUCAUUACGGUGAUCAGUUGAGUGGCUCAAGAUUUGAUUCGUAUACCGAAGAUAAUAGGUUCCAUCCUUCAAUUUACUCUCAGUCUCAAGAAACCUUGGUUGGCUUGCGAGGAGGGGUAUGGAUUUAGAUGUAUCAUUGGUCUUGGACUCUCGCUCUCACCAUGGUGGGGUAAAGAUCACAAGCUCUUUUAAUGGACAGUGAUGGGUAAAAUUUUACGAAGCCUUGAAUUCCAUGCCUAAAAAAAUAUGUAUUCUCCAUCUAAUUGACUUGCUUGGUAAGCUUCAAUGAGCUUCAUUUCUUCAGUCCAACCCUCAUGAUUAGCUUUGCACAUCAUUGCCUUCAAUCACGUAGCUUUCUAAUCCCUCCCGCAUUAAAAAUGCUAAUGCCACGUCACCAUACCAAAUGGAAGUAAUAAUAGAAUUUAUAUCCAUUAACACGUGAAAACUAUCUUCCGCCCACGGAAUGUAGAUAGAGAGAAAUUAUUAAAUAUUAAGGUUCGUUUGUUUUGUUAAAAAAUAAAUAAUUAAAAAAUACAUAUCUUCUUAAAAAAUGCUUAAUUUAUUGAUUGAAAGAAUUAGCUAAUAAAAAUAUUUAUAUUAUCAAUAAGUCAUAUCUAAACAUUUAAUGUAGCUCAAGUUCAAGAAUUGCAGCAGCAGUCCCGUCAUCACCUCUGGCAUCGCCCUGUAGAUCUUGUUAUUAGGGGUGUGCAACCAGACCGGGUAUACCCGGUUUCCAAACUAGCCCACCUAGAAAAUAGAGUCAGGAAUUGGUUUUCGUUGAAACCGGUCCGGGAACCGGUUCCCAAAAUUCGGAACCGGUUUAAACUAGUUCAGGAACAGGUUCUGAGUGAUUACCCACCUGAAAACUAGUUCCUAGAUUGGUUCCCGAACUGGUUUUGUAAGUAGAGGUUCAAAACCAUUUUCCCCCAAUUUCUAUUAUUACUCCUGCAAUCACACUGUGACAUCCCGAUUUUCUCAAUUUUUAUUUUCAGUCAAUUGAGACGGGCAAUUCAUCUGUGCAUGUAGUUCGCCUCUCAGAGUUGGCCACUCACGAGGGAACUAGUCUAUUGAGUGAAGUAAUUAAGGAAUUUUGCCGUGUCAGACUUGGGGACUGAUCACCCUCGGGUCGGAUGCAAGAAAAUUCCCCAAAAGCUACUCGGUGGAUUAGGCGCGCUGAAAUCGCACCGGAUUGAAUUCAACCGUAAAAAUUGGGAUUGAAUUUAGAAGUUGGAAGCCGGUCAUGUCACAUAUCUUAUUAGGAGCAUAGGAUAAUUUUUAUGGAUUUUUAAUUUGGACUCAAUUAGAAGGGAAUUGAUGGACAUUGAAGUAAUUGAAUGUACAAGAACUUGGACCCCGGCGGAAAAUGAAAGUGAACUUAUUGGAAGAUGUUAUGGAGGAUUUGAAUUAGUGGAGAAUGACAUCAGCAGGUGAUGUCAUGGUGGAGGCCAAAUUCAAGGAGAGCUUGACAAGUGUCACAAGCCAAUUGGCUCACCAAAAGUGGGGAUGUCACUUCCCUCUUGUCUCCAUCAUCUUCAAGCUUGAGAGGAGAGAGAUUGGGAGGGAGACCGAAGGAGAGAACCAGCGGAAACCGCCCCCCUUCCGUCCGCCUUCGCCGCUCGACCGUUGCCACCGCUCGCCUUCGUCGUCGCCUUCGCUGUCGCACGCCGUCGCCGCUCGUCCGCGUGUGAAGCCUCGCGCGCACUCGUCGUGUCCCCGUCACACCGUUGUCUCUUCGUCCGCUGCUGGUCACCGUCCGCCGAAGCUCCCGUCGCCGCCGAUCGUCCGCUCAAGCCUCCGCCGGUCGUUGCACGAGCUGUCGCCGGUUCUCCUCCGCCGUUCCUCCACCCGUUCAGCCGCCGUUCCGUCGCCUUUCAAGCCCGGUUUGUCGUCGGCGUCGUCGUGCUCUUCGCCGGAGAUUCGUCGGAAAGCGAUUCCGGUGAGUUUACCUCACUAAUCCGCGAUUAGCGAGUUAAUGAUGCCUUAAGUAUGUUUAGUUUAAGUUGAUUGAGAUUAGGUGGAUAAAUUGGCUUAAUUAGUUAUGGAUUAUAUUAAGGUGAUUAAUUAAGGUAAAGUGUGUUUAGUUUAAUGGUUAAGUAUGUUUAUUUUUAAAAUAAACCUUGAUGUGACUUAAAGGAGUUUAUUUAUGAUUUAAAUAAAUGCUUCGAAAUUGUUGGAUUAUUUAAUAAUAUAUCUUAUUCCGAAAUUCAUUAAAAUACUAUUUAUAAAAAAAAAAAAAAAACUUGAAAAAAUUAUUUUGACCCUAGUUGCUCAGAAUUUCGUGUCGAUCGUUGCUGUGCUUGUGGAAUUUGAAAUUGAUGAUUGGUUGUGACGAUUUGAGUGUGAUUGCGAUUUAUGAGAACUCUUUAGAAAACCCUAAGUGUGGAAAUUGAUGGGAGAUAGGCCGUGAUGAACCACCUAGGAGAGGUCGUGCCCAGCGAGGCCGUGAUUGACCACCUAUUAGAGGUCGUGCCCAGUGAGGCCGUGAUGUACCACCUAUGAGAGGUCGUGCCCAGUGAGGCCGUGAUUGACCAUGACCACCUAUUAGAGGUUAUGCCCAGUGAGGCCGUGAUGGACCACCUAUGAGAGGUCGUGCCUAAUAGGGCCGUGAUGGACCACCUAUGAGAGGUCGUGCCUAAUGAGGCCGUGAACUACCACCUAAUUGCAGGUCGUGUCGAGUGGGGCCGUGAUUGCCACUGGUUAUUAAACCUUCCUAUUGGGUCAAGAUUUGGGAGCAAUAAUUGAUUUACUAGAAUGACAUGUAAUCGGCCGAGUCGAUUGAUCGCUGAGACGAUCCCCGUGAUUGAGCUGUUCUGAUGAUGUGAUUGUACUUCCGUUGUUGAGUUAUUAGAAUUGCACGUGGUUGAAUUAUAUAAAUUGUGCUAACCUGCAGAUGAGGGCUAAGCCGAGGUAAGUCUUCUUGAUGUCGUGGCUAAGCUGCUUUGGGGCGUAUUUACUUUCUAAUAGGGGUUUAGGAGGGGUGAACUUGCUGAGACAAAGUCUCAUCCCGGUUUUGGGAAAAAUAUUUCAGGACCGUAGAUGGCGAGACCCCCGGAGAUGAGUGGCCUGUCGACGAAGAUUGACCAGACGACAGAGAGUGCUCCUGACCCUGGGAGUCCUUGGGUCUAUCAGUUGGUUAGGACCCUCAUCUGGGUCGAGGUGAACGUGCAUAACAGGGUACCGUACAUGUUUAGGGCUUGGUUUCGUUCCGGAGUCGAUGGCGUUAGGGUUGGCCCUCUGGAUAGCAUGGAUAUUCCGCUGGCUGUGAUGAAUGCCAUUUUGGGUGAAGGUGUGGCGGAUCUUCCUGACGGUGGAGUGAUCAACGCUUCGCCCCCGGCCUCCUGGGUGACUGAUCCUGAGGAUGUAGGGUCGACGAAUGGGGACGACCAAUAGUCCUAGGAUCGUGCCCUUUUCUUUUUUUGGGCGGACUGAUUCGUGUUGUGUAGGCUAACCCUCUUUUGAUGCACAUAGACUCUGACCCAUUUUUGGUGCAUAGGCCCUGGAUCCGGUUGAUGUAUGUAAGCCCUAGAUUGUUGAUGAUAUAUGAAAGUAUGUUGUUUGAUUUUGAGUUGAUGUUCCUGCUGUCCUAUCCCGUAUGCUUUUGUAAGGGGUUUCUUAGUACGUUCCGCUUGCGCAUUAAUAAAUAAUAAAAAUUGGGGUCGGCGACACUACCUGGGAAUGUCGCAUUUGCAUGACCAUGGCGGGUUGUUCACGGGUCUCGGGGUUCGGGGCGUGACAACCCCGUUUAAGUGGUAUCAGAGCGAGGUUUGUGUAUGGAGUGAUAAGGGCGAUGAGUCACGGGAUAGUUAGUAGGAAUAACUUUUCAUAUUCUAAUGCAUGUGAUUGUUAGUUGUUUGUUAGCUUGGUUGAAAGGUUACUCAAAUUCUAAUAUGGCAUUGGAAUUCGCCAAUAGGCAUCUAUAUUGAGCCUGUAGCAUGAGUGACCGAGUGCCAAGAGCUACUAGGAAGAGAGCAGUAGGCCCCGUGUUUCGGGGUGGGCCGUCGGUGAGAGUCGGUGCCCGAGGUGCCUUGGGAAGAGCGCAGGCUGAGGCCAGUGUGAGUGGUGCAGCGUCACCUCCAGAGGAUGCAGUGGCCCCUGAGGAUCCGAGGUUUGCUGGGAUCAUGCAGAUGCUUGAGAUGAUGGGUGACAGACUAGACCAGCAGGCCGCCGCUUCAGCCGCCGCUAUCACCGCGGCCACCAAUGCUGCUAAUGUCGACAAUGCUGCUGUUGCCGCUAAUGCCGUCGCUGCUACUGCCGCCGCACCGGUUGCCGAGCCAGAAGAGGAACUUGAGGAAAUUCCACUUGAGGAUGUGGUCGCUGGGAGGCCUAGGCAGAAGUUGGUGCAGCACUUUCUGAGAUUGAACCCACCAACGUUCACGGGAGCGGGAGAUCCCGAAGCUGCAGCGCUAUGGGUUCAAGAACUAGAGAAUGCCUUUGAGCUAUUGUUGUGCACUGAAGGAGAGAAGGUCGUGCUAGCAGCCUAUCAGUUGAGGGGGACCGCAGCCACAUGGUGGAAGACUAAUAAAGGGAUAGUGUUCCCUGAUGGUGUAGCUCGAGAGUGGAAUGCAUUUCUAGAAGUCUUCAAUGAGAAAUACUUUUCUGAUUGUGCUAAAGAGUUGAAGAUGGCGGAGUUCCAACACCUUCGUCAAGGUACAAUGACAGUUGAUCAGUAUGAAGCGAAGUUUGCUGAACUGUCGCAGUAUGCCCCUGAAUUAGUCCAGAAACCGACAGACCGAAUUCGAAGGUUUAGAGAUGGGCUUAGAUCGGAGGUGAGGAGCUUUUUGGUUCCGUUAGAUCUGAAGGAGUACAAGGAUCUUUACAAGCGGGCCCAGCUGAUUGAGAAGGACCAGAAUGAGAAAGCUGCCGCAUCUGGGUCGCGGUUUAACUCAAGCAGAGGUGAUAAUCGGUUUGGGAAGAGGCCGAUGCCUGGGGGAAGGUACCAUGUUCCACCCACCAGGAAGGGUGGAGUGGGGAAGCCGUCAUCGAGCUUCAAUGGAGCAUGUCGUUUGUGUGGAAGGCGACAUGGCUCAGCCCCGUGCCCUCCUAGGACGGGUGCUUGCUAUGAGUGUGGCCAGCAGGGUCACAUUGCUAGGGUUUGUCUUAGGAGACAAAUGAGACAGCCUCAGUUGCCGCCGCUGCCACCGCUGGGCCAAAAUAGAGGAUUCGCACCGCAGAUCAUGCCGCCGGGUGGAAUGAACCGACCUCCAGCUCAGGGAAGGACUUAUGCGCUGACCAGAGGACAGGCGGAGGAUGCGCCUAACGUGGUCAUAGGUAUGGUCUUGCUGAACGACCAACCUGCUUAUGCUUUGUUUGAUCCUGGAGCUUCGCAUUCAUUUAUAGCUGAAAGAUUUGUUAAAUUGGUAGAAUUAAUUUCUAAAUUGUUGGAGUCUGUGAUUAGUAUAUCUACCCCGUUGAAAGAUAAAGUGUUAGCUACGGUAGGUUGCCUUGGUUGCAAGUUAGUGAUUGGUGAGCGAGAGGGGAGGAUAGACCUGAUAGUCCUAGCCAUGUAUGAUUUUGAUGUGAUAAUUGGCAUGGACUGGCUUACCAAGCAUCGAGCUAAAAUGGACUGUUAUCGCAAGGCGAUUCAGUUUAACUCGUUAGGGGGUGAGAGCUUCGAAUUUAUUGGGAGUCGAGGAGGGCCCUCGGUUUCCUUAAUCUCAUCGCUCGAAGCAACCCGCUUGUUAGGCAAGGGUUGCCAAGGUUAGCUAGCAACUGUCGUAGACACGACAGUAGAGGAGUUAAAGAUUGAAGAUAUCGCAGUGGUACGAGAGUUCCCAGAUGUGUUUCCAAAAGAAUUACUGGGUUUAUCGCCAGAGAGAGAGAUAGAGUUUGUGAUCGAAUUAGCCCCCGGGACAGAGCCGAUCUCUAAAGCUCCUUACCGAAUGGCCUUGUCAGAGCUUAAGGAACUAAAGGUGCAAAUGCAAGAGUUGUUGGAUAAAGGAUUUAUACGUCCAAGUGCAUCACCUUGGGGAGCACCGGUAUUGUUUGUGAAGAAGAAAGAUGGUUCAUUACGCUUGUGCAUCGAUUACCGACAGCUCAACCAGGUGACAAUUAAGAACAAGUAUCUGUUGCCAAGGAUUGAUGAUUUCUUUGAUCAGCUUCAAGGAGCGUCGAUAUUUUCUAAGAUCGACUUGAGGACGGGGUAUCAUCAGCUAAGAAUCAAGAAGGAAGAUAUCCCGAAGUCGGCGUUUCGCACUCGAUAUGGCCAUUAUGAGUUUACUGUGAUGCCGUUUGGGUUGACAAACGCCCCGGCUGCUUUCAUGGAUCUGAUGAAUCAGGUGUUCAAAGAGUACUUAGAUCAGUUUGUAAUUGUUUUCAUCGACGACAUCCUGGUGUAUUCAAGGAGUACUGAGGAUCAUGAAAAGCACUUGAGGAUAGUGCUUCAGACCUUAAGAGAUCACGAGCUGUACGCCAAGUUUAGUAAGUGCGAGUUUUGGCUGACUCGUGUAGCUUCCUAGGUCAUGUCAUCUCUGGNNNNNNNNNNNNNNNNNNNNNNNNNNNNNNNNNNNNNNNNNNNNNNNNNNNNNNNNNNNNNNNNNNNNNNNNNNNNNNNNNNNNNNNNNNNNNNNNNNNNAAAGAAUGAGGCAGUGAUCACUGGCCGAGACCGACGAUAGUGACAGAAAUUAGAAUUUUUCUGGGUUUAGCAGGGUAUUACAGACGGUUUGUAGAAGGGUUUUCAAGGUUAGUGUUGACACCUAAAUUUUACUAUUUUACUUAAAACUUAAUUGUGUACAAGAUUAGGAAUUAGCCACUAAAAAAAAAAACACAACAACAAAACAAAAGAAAAUACAAAAAAAUUAAGUAAUUUAAAAAAAAAAAAACGAAAACGAGAGACUCCAUUCUCUCUUUCUUUUUCCCCCACGCGCAGGCCCUUGUGCGGCCCAUCUUCUUUUCUCCCUCGCGUGGCCCACGCACGGCCCAUCUUCCUCUUCUUUCUCCUCGGCUCGGCUCGGCUCAUGCCCAGCUUUCUUCCCCCCUCUUGCUGGUCUUCGCUGAAAAAGACUUGCAAGAAGAGAAAAAAAACAGAGUAGCAGAAGUUGCAGCAGCAUAGCGAGAGCAAGAAGAUCAAGGUUCGGCGCGAUCCGCGGGUCGGGGAAGUAGACCGAUCGACCAGCUGGCACGGCAGGAGGUCUUCGCUCGGAAUACCUGCAGGAAAAAAAAGGGACCCAGCACAGAGAACUCGAGAGAGAGGGAGAGGGGGAACGGAGGGAGAGACCGGAGGAGAGAGGGAAAGGGAGCUCGAGGGAGGAGCAACCAGAAAGAAAAAAAGAAGAAGGGGAAAACCGAAAGGAAGGGCGGCGACGGCGGCACCGCCGCCGCUGCCGCUACCGCUCCCACUCGACCGGUGCCUGACACCCGCGUCGUCGCCGCCGCCCUCCUACCCGUCGUCGUCCAAGCCUCCUCUGAGCGAAGCUGUCUUCUACUCCCUGCCUGCUGCUCUGCCCGUGCCUCUCGGACCAGCGACCCGACGCCGCUGCUCGCCCUCCUCGCCGCUUCAACCUGACGCCGUUCGAGCCGAGCCGCCGCCCUCUAUCUUCCGUUCGAACCAAGCCGCCGCCGUUGCCGCUGCUCCCGACGCCGAACCAGCCGGAGACGAACCAGAUCUGGGAGUUGAUCGAACUCCGCUGCACCACCAGGCCGACCGCCGCCGCCGUCCUGCUCUAGUCGCCGUCCGAACCCCCUCGCUGCAGCCGGUGCCGUCGCUCACCCAUCACCGCCCUCAACCCGACGCCGUCCGAGCUGCCUCGCCAGUCACCGCCGAGCGAGCCCCACACCGGCCCUCGCCACCGCCGCCACUCCUGGCCGCGUCUCCGCCAGUCACCGCCGUGCCGACGCCGCCGCCCGUCGUACCGCCGCUGUUGCCGUCCAAAUCACCUUCGCCGCCGCCGCCGCCGCUGCCAACGCCGCCAGGAAACCCUAGGGUUUCGGCCAAAAGGAACGGGUCGGACACGGGUCGCGAACCGGGUAGGGUUUUUGAGCUAUUUGGGUCGGUUUUUAGGCUUUUUGGGCUUUUAGGAAUUUUUUGGAUUUGUGGGUUUGGGCUAACUUAGGUAGUGGGCUUCUUUUUUUAAAUAGAAAGUAUUAGACCAGAUUGGGCCCGCUGAUUGGGCCCAAUCCGAGCCAAGGCAAAGCCCGACCAAGUCGGGCCAGUUCGGCCCGGCCCCAUUUGGACCGAACUCGGGUCCGGUCUCCGACCGAACCCGAUCCGCGUUGACCGGGUCGGGUCGAAUCGAACCC
Molecule: long non-coding RNA, 14272 nt
Filed under: Eucalyptus grandis
Lineage: Eukaryota; Viridiplantae; Streptophyta; Magnoliopsida; Myrtales; Myrtaceae
Description: long non-coding RNA (EGRA_LNC000330)
Source: RNAcentral